CAAGAAAUAGUUUAAUUAAAAUAUAAAUUUUGGAGAUUUAAGUUAAGAAGUUUUCUUUUUCUUGA
RNAcentral lists this transfer RNA (65 nucleotides) under Anoplophora horsfieldii. RNAcentral's name for it is "Anoplophora horsfieldi tRNA-Pro". The record is from RNAcentral. Lineage: Eukaryota; Metazoa; Arthropoda; Insecta; Coleoptera; Cerambycidae.